AAAUUUGGCUUUUAGCGACCAUUUCUUAACGAAGGGAUAUGAAUCCGGUCUUGAUAAGUAUAAUUAUAGCGACGUAAUUUUUUCCCAGUCGUUAAAAGCUAAUCUCAGUUUAAUAUUAACGAGAGUAUAAUAUACGGACGUUAAAAAGUUAAAUAUCCCGUCAUUAAUCAUUAAAAAAAUAUAGUGCUAAAGUUUCCCUCUUUAUUUUUCACACCCACAUUUCUCUCCCCACCCCACUCUCCCCACCCCCUCACACCUAAAAGAAAAAAUAGAAAAUGCCCUCAGUUGUUUCUCUAUUUUUUAUGCAAAACUCAUUUAGAUCCUUCUCUUGUCGCUGCUCAGUGGUCAAGGUCAAUGUUGAAUACCCCUCUUGGAACGAUUUCCUAUCGGUUAGAUUUGAGCGCAUCCUCUCCAAGGUUGACAUUAAUGUUUGGUCAACCUUCAUCUCCAUCUUCUUCAAGUGAACAGUAGAUUCAUUUAUUAACAGUGUGUUGAAUGCUUUUGUUGCCGAGGGUCUAUCGGAAAUAUCCUCCUUACCCCACAAAGGUAGGGGUAAGGUCUGUGUACACCCACCCUCUCCAGACCCGACUUGUGGGACCAUACUAGAGGAGGAACAAGGCUUAUGUAGCAUCUUAAUGGAGAUACGGUCCACGAGUUGCAAGAGUACUGGAUUUUAGUUAUUUGGGUCCAGUUUAAUUUUGCUCUACUAUUUGGUAGAUAUAAAUUAUUGUUCAUGCGUUUUUAGAUGCCCAGCCUCUUUUUCUUUAAUAGGGAAUUCUUUGUUACUAUACUAAUAUGAAAUUGUUCUUUUUAACAGAUCAAGAAUUUGAAGUCUAAAGAACCUAUCCUCUAAGAAAGUACAGAUCAAGUUAGAGUACAAGUUUCUUUAGGAGUGGUUUAAAAAUGUUGUCUUAGUGUUCAUAUGCUGCAACUUUAUUUAUUCUUUUUAGGAGUUGACAAAAAUUAUGCCAUACAACUGGGAUGGGUAUGUUUUCUGGUAACGUGGAGCUUUAGUUUUGUGUUGACAAUGAAAUUUUAUAAUUAUUGAUUAUUUUUUAUCUUUUCAGUUUUGUG
Long non-coding RNA from Lycium ferocissimum, 1074 nucleotides. RefSeq lists it as uncharacterized. The transcript is spliced from 5 exons. The record is from RefSeq and is a predicted model, not a curated record. NCBI's taxonomy places the organism in Eukaryota, Viridiplantae, Streptophyta, Magnoliopsida, Solanales, Solanaceae.